UCCCUAUUACUAGAGCAGUCCAAGUAGAAAACAGGCAACGAGGGUUGCGUUCGUUACCCCACUGAAGGGAACAACUCAAGCCACGAACUGACGACGACCAUGCAUCACCUGCACAAAUGCCUUGCGGGGGCUAAAGUUUCCUAAAGCUUACAUUUGUGUUUCAAACCCUGGUGAGGUUCUUCGUUUGCCAUCGAAUUGAGCCGCAUGAUCCACCGCUUGUGCAAGUCCCCGUCUAUUCCUUUGAGUUUUAAUCUUGCGAUCGUACUACCCAGGCGCCUAACUUAACGCGUUUGCUUCGCCUCGAAGAGGGUCGAUACUCCUCAAAGCCAGUUAGGAUCGUUUAGGGCGUGGACUAC
RNAcentral lists this unclassified non-coding RNA (356 nucleotides) under uncultured bacterium. RNAcentral describes it as "contains 16S-23S intergenic spacer region". The record is from RNAcentral.